Long non-coding RNA from Cyprinus carpio (common carp), 408 nucleotides. NCBI's taxonomy places the organism in Eukaryota, Metazoa, Chordata, Actinopteri, Cypriniformes, Cyprinidae. The record is from Ensembl.
AUGGAUCUCCUUCUCUGGCUGUGCUGUAAGCUGGCGGUAGUUCGGUCCCUCGUAGGCCAUUUCCCUGGAACUGCAAUCUGCUCUGGUGCGGACAGCAGUGUAGAGGCACUUGGACUGCUGAAAGAGGGUCUGGAGGAGGCCAAAACCCUGACACUAAAGCCCUGCUGCUUUUACAAGGUGUCCACCUCAACACACACCAUGGCAGACCCAGAGAAGACAGUACGUCUAUGCUACAGUGAGCUGAGAGGAACAGGAAGCCAGACUCUCCACCUGCUCACACAGAAACUACAGCAGCAACAGGUUUUUGAUAUUAUUAUUAUACUCAAAAUGUUUAAGCAUGACACAAGUAGAUAUUUAUGUGAACUUAACCUUUGUUGUUAUCUAAAAUGUGUUAAUUCAGCUGCUUAA